CGGCAACAGCUCAAAUUUGAAAUCUGGCCUCUCGGGGUCCGAGUUGUAAUUUGUAGAGGAUGUUUUAGGUACCGCCCCGGUCUAAAUUUCUUGGAACAGAAUGUCAAAGAGGGUGAGAAUCCCGUCU
This 127-nucleotide ribosomal RNA is filed under the name Capronia americana. Its description in RNAcentral is "Phialophora americana partial large subunit ribosomal RNA". It matches the Rfam family "Eukaryotic large subunit ribosomal RNA", at positions 99 to 226 of the family's 3401-position model. The record is from RNAcentral. Lineage: Eukaryota; Fungi; Ascomycota; Eurotiomycetes; Chaetothyriales; Herpotrichiellaceae.